GAGGGUAGAACUCAGAGGUAGAGUGUAUACUUAGCAUGCAUGAGGUCCUGGGUUCAAGCUUCGGUACCUUCA
Molecule: transfer RNA, 72 nt
Filed under: Camelus ferus (Wild Bactrian camel)
Lineage: Eukaryota; Metazoa; Chordata; Mammalia; Artiodactyla; Camelidae
Rfam family: tRNA
About the family: Transfer RNA (tRNA) molecules are approximately 80 nucleotides in length. Their secondary structure includes four short double-helical elements and three loops (D, anti-codon, and T loops).
Source: Rfam by way of RNAcentral